GACGAACGCUGGCGGCGUGCUUAACACAUGCAAGUCGAACGGAAAGGCCCUGCUUUUGUGGGGUGCUCGAGUGGCGAACGGGUGAGUAACACGUGAGUAACCUGCCCCUGACUUUGGGAUAACUUCAGGAAACUGGGGCUAAUACCGGAUAGGAGCUCCUGCUGCAUGGUGGGGGUUGGAAAGUUUCGGCGGUUGGGGAUGGACUGGCGGCUUAUCAGCUUGUUGGUGGGGUAGUGGCUUACCAAGGCUUUGACGGGUAGCCGGCCUGAGAGGGUGACCGGCGACAUUGGGACUGGGAUACGGCCCAGACGCCUACGGGAGGCAGCAGUGGGGAAUAUUGCACAAUGGGCGGAAGCCUGAUGCAGCAACGCCGCGUGCGGGAUGACGGCCUUCGGGUUGUAAACCGCUUUCGCCUGUGACGAAGCGUGAGUGACGGUAAUGGGUGAAGAAGCACCGGCUAACCACGUG
Molecule: ribosomal RNA, 468 nt
Filed under: uncultured bacterium
Lineage: Bacteria
Description: partial 16S ribosomal RNA
Rfam family: Bacterial small subunit ribosomal RNA
Source: RNAcentral